CCUACGGGAGGCAGCAGUGGGGAAUAUUGGGCAAUGGGCGCAAGCCUGAUGCAGCAACGCCGCGUGAAGGAAGAAGGCUUUCGGGUUGUAAACUUCUUUUGACGGGGAAGAGCAGAAUACGGUUACUGCCUAAUAAGCCACGGCUAACUACGUGCAAGCAGCCGCGGUAAUACGUAGGUGGCAAGCGUUGUCCGGAAUUACUGGGUGGAAAGGGCGUGUAGCCGGGCUGAUAAGUCAGAUGUGAAAUCCGGGGGCUCAACCCCCGAACUGCAUUUGAAACUGUUGGUCUUGAGUAUCGGAGAGGCAGGCGGAAUUCCAGGUGUAGCGGUGAAAUGCGUAGAUAUUAGGAGGAACACCAGUGGCGAAGGCGGCCUGCUGGACGACAACUGACGGUGAGGCGCGAAAGCGUGGGGAGCAAACAGGAUUAGAUACCCCAGUAGUC
Molecule: ribosomal RNA, 442 nt
Filed under: uncultured bacterium
Lineage: Bacteria
Description: partial 16S ribosomal RNA
Rfam family: Bacterial small subunit ribosomal RNA
Source: RNAcentral